Chlorocebus sabaeus (green monkey) is the source of this 2459-nucleotide non-coding RNA. Lineage: Eukaryota; Metazoa; Chordata; Mammalia; Primates; Cercopithecidae. The record is from RefSeq and is a predicted model, not a curated record.
GGCUGCAAUGAGCUAUGAUCACAGCACUCCACUCCAACCUGGGUGACAGAGUGAGGCCAGUCUCAAAAAAAAAAAAAAAAAAAGCAGGCAUUUUUGAUACAAUAUUUGUAUUAUCUGCUUAAGACAGUCAGUUUGCUUCCAAAGACUAAACCGAACUUCCACGAAACUCCUUUUGGCAUAGACUGAGUCCAGAGCAAGGAGAUCAGGUGGGUUUACAUAGACAAUGUAACAGUCAGAUUUACCUCCUUUUCUCUUUCCCAGCCAGCGUGGGACCCGGUAGCAGAGGGUGUGGGGGGCGGGUGACAGUCUACCAAAUAUCUCUCUUCUUACGGGAACUCAUAGAGGAAAACAGAUUGGUCGAACGAACCAGUCAUAUUAUGCAAAGCUCGUCCAAAUCCUCUGGUUUCCUUAACUUGGCCAAGAAAAAGAGGAAGUUCUCCGAGUGACUCACAACUGUGGUGCUACUAUGCCUUCUGACCCCAUCUUGGACUUCAUCUGGGAGAAUGUGGAGGCAUUUGAACAGGCUCCUUCUCUGGAGCGUAUUUUCUUCUGUCACAUGUAGAAGAGCUGUAUUGGAUUGUGAGGCAAUGAAAACAAAUGAAUUCCCUUCUCCAUGUUUGGACUCGAAGACUAAUGUGGUUAUGAAGGGUCAAAAUGUAUCUAUGUUUUGCUCCCAUAAGAACAAAUCACUGCAGAUCACCUAUUCAUUGUUUCGACAUAAGACACACCUGGGAACCCAGAAUGGAAAAGGUGAACCUGCAGUUUUUAACCUAAGCAUCACAGAAGCCCAUGAAUCAGGCCCCUACAAAUGCAAAGCCCAAGUUUACAGCUGUUCAAAAUACAGCCGUGACUUCAACUUCACAAUUGUCGACCCGGUGACUGCCCCAGUGCUGAACAUUACGGUCAUUCAAACAGAAACACACCGACAUAUAACAUUACAUUGCCUCUCAGUCAAUGGCUCACUGCCCAUCAAUUACACUUUCUUUGAAAAGCAUAUUGCCAUAUCACCAGCUAUUUCCAAGUACGACAGGGAGUCUGCUGAAUUUAAGUUAACCAGGAAGAAUCCUGGAGAAGAGGAAGAGUAUAGGUGUGAAGCUACAAACAGAUUGCCUGACUAUGCAGCAUCCAGUCAAACUAUCACCAUGCCCUCAACAGGCGGAGACAGCUGUCCUUUCUGUUUGAAGCUACUGCUUCCGGGGUUAUUACUGCUGCUGCUGGUGAUAAUCCUAAUUCUGGCUUUUUGGAUACUGCCCAAAUACAAAGCAAGAAAAGCUAUGAGAAAUAAUGUGCCCAGGGACUGUGGAGACACAGCUGUGGAAGUUGGAAUCUAUGCAAAUAUCCAUGGAAAACAAGCAAAGGCCGAACAUUCCCAGGAGCUACAGUAUGCCACCCCCGUGUUCCGGGAGGUGGCACCAAGAGAGCAAGAAGCCUGUGAUUCUUAUAAACCUGGAUAUGUCUAUUCCGAACUCAACUUCUGAAAUUUACAGAAACAAACUACAUCUCAGGAUUUUCUUACAGUCUGGAGACCAGAAAACUACUGUUGUGACUGUUGUGUUGUUGCCUCUGCCACAGCUGCCUCACACCCAGAAACGAGCCCACCGUGGAGGAGAGCUUUGCCACUGUGGACACUUGCUUCUCAGCCACAACCUUUUGCUUUCCAAACCCCAGCCUGGGCACCUAGUUGGUGGAAGAUACUCACAUCCCUGAUCCCAGGAAUACGUGUUGCAUCUUCCCAAGGAUUUAAAGGGGAGACCUGACCAGAGGAAUGAUCAACAGUGGAUUUGUGAUGCCUGGAGCUCAUUUCCUUCUUUCUCCUUAACUGCCCUGGAAGGAAACGGACUAGUGCCUUAUCUCUGACUCCUCCACAGCACACACCCACCACCAGAGACAGUAACUGAGAUCUGCAGUAGCACAGAAACUUAGAGGUUAGAAAAAUUAGACACCUAAGGAUUUCAUGACUCCAGACCUGUUUCCUUAGCAUAAUACCACACCAGUAAGUGGAAUACAACUUAUGAAAUUUUGUAAAUAAAUUCUAUAAAAUUUGUGGUAAAAAUUUAUUGUUAAAAAAUUAUUAAAAGGCAAUUGGGUUGGAAGGAAGUUCUGUCAAAAUACAAUCCAGGUGUGUAGUUCUCUGCUAAAUUUUGUAAAUAAAUUCUAUAAAAUUUUUGGUAAAAAUUUAUCGUUAAAAAAUUAUUAAAAGCAAUUAGGUUGGAAGGAAGUUCUGUCAAAAUACAAUCCAGGUGUGCAGUUCUCUGCUAAAUUUAGAAGUGAUUACUACUGAGGCAGUCUCAAAAAAGCAUAAGAGGACUUUAUGGGGUGAUGCAAAUUUUCUACAUUGCCUUUGUAGAGAUGGUUAUACAUUUGUCAAUACUCAUUAAUUUGUACAUUUAAAAAAGGUAAAUUUAUUGUAUAUAAAUUGUAUCUUAAUGAAACUGAUUAAAACACACAUACAAACCCCA